AAGCCGAAUUAAGUAGAAACCGCGAAUGGCUCAAUAUAUCAGUUUUGGUUCCUUAGAUCGUACACAGUUACUUGGAUAACUGUGGCAAUUCUAGAGCUAAUACAUGCAAACGGGGUUCUGACCGGUAACGGGAGGAAUGCUUUUAUUAGAUCAAAAACCAAUCGGCGGACGGAGCGAUCCGCCCGCCGCCAUUCGAGAUGACUCUAGAUAACUUUGAGCUGAUCGCACGGUCCAGCACCGGCGACGCAUCUUUCAAAUGUCUGCCUUAUCAACUGUCGAUGGUAGUUUAUGCGACUACCAUGGUUGUCACGGGUAACGGGGAAUCAGGGUUCGAUUCCGGAGAGGGAGCCUGAGAAACGGCUACCACAUCCACGGAAGGCAGCAGGCGCGCAAAUUACCCACUCCCGGCACGGGGAGGUAGUGACGAAAAAUAACGAUACGGGACUCGUCCGAGGCCUCGUGAUCGGAAUGAUUACACUUUAAAUCCUUUAACGAGGAUCCAUUGGAGGGCAAGUCUGGUGCCAGCAGCCGCGGUAAUUCCAGCUCCAAUAGCAUAUACUAAAGUUGUUGCGGUUAAAAAGCUCGUAGUUGAAAUUGUGUCCUGCGGUGUCGGUCUACCGAUUGCGGUACGACGGGCACGUCUGCGGGGCUUCUCGCCGGUGCGUCCACCGCCGGCGUGCGUCGGUCGGCCUCGCGGUCGGCCGCGCACCGAGGCGGACCGUCGCGGCUGUUUACUUUGAACAAAUUAGAGUGCUCAAAGCGGGCUAACACUCGCCUGAAUAUUGUACGCAUGGAAUAAUAGAAUAGGACCUCGGUUCUGUUUUGUUGGCUUUCUGAUACCAGAGGUAAUGAUUAAUAGGGACAACUGGGGGCAUUCGUAUUGCGACGUUAGAGGUGAAAUUCUUGGAUCGUCGCAASACGGACUAAAGCGAAAGCAUUUGCCAAAGGUGUUUUCAUUAAUCAAGAACGAAAGUUAGAGGUUCGAAGGCGAUUAGAUACCGCUGUAGUUCUAACCAUAAAUGAUGCCAGCCAGCGAUCCGCCGAAGUUUCAUAAUUUUAACCCGGUGGGCAGCUCCCGGGAAACCAAAGCUUUC
Molecule: ribosomal RNA, 1094 nt
Filed under: Molanna uniophila
Lineage: Eukaryota; Metazoa; Arthropoda; Insecta; Trichoptera; Molannidae
Description: SSU rRNA
Source: RNAcentral